Molecule: ribosomal RNA, 1014 nt
Filed under: uncultured bacterium
Lineage: Bacteria
Description: bacterial SSU rRNA
Rfam family: Bacterial small subunit ribosomal RNA
Source: RNAcentral
GCUAACUUCGGUGCCAGCAGCCGCGGUAAUAGGGAGGUUCCGAGCUUUAAUGGAAAUUACUGGGCGUAAAGCGCGCGUAGGUGGUUUCGUCAGUCAGAUGUGAAAGCCCAGGGCUCAACCUUGGAACUGCACCUGAUACUGCGGAACUAGAGUACGAUAGAGGGGAGUGGAAUUUCCGGUGUAGCGGUGAAAUGCGUAGAGAUCGGAAGGAACACCAGUGGCGAAGGCGACUCCCUGGAUUGAUACUGACACUGAGGUGCGAAAGCGUGGGGAGCAAACAGGAUUAGAUACCCUGGUAGUCCACGCCGUAAACGAUGUCUACUUGGAGGUUGUGGCCUUGAGCCGUGGCUUUCGGAGCUAACGCGUUAAGUAGACCGCCUGGGGAGUACGGUCGCAAGAUUAAAACUCAAAUGAAUUGACGGGGGCCCGCACAAGCGGUGGAGCAUGUGGUUUAAUUCGAUGCAACGCGAAGAACCUUACCUACUCUUGACAUCCAGAGAACUUAGCAGAGAUGCUUUGGUGCCUUCGGGAACUCUGAGACAGGUGCUGCAUGGCUGUCGUCAGCUCGUGUUGUGAAAUGUUGGGUUAAGUCCCGCAACGAGCGCAACCCUUAUCCUUGUUUGCCAGCGAGUAAUGUCGGGAACUCCAGGGAGACUGCCGGUGAUAAACCGGAGGAAGGUGGGGACGACGUCAAGUCAUCAUGGCCCUUACGAGUAGGGCUACACACGUGCUACAAUGGCGCAUACAGAGGGCUGCCAACUCGCGAGAGUGAGCGAAUCCCAAAAAGUGCGUCGUAGUCCGGAUUGGAGUCUGCAACUCGACUCCAUGAAGUCGGAAUCGCUAGUAAUCGUAGAUCAGAAUGCUACGGUGAAUACGUUCCCGGGCCUUGUACACACCGCCCGUCACACCAUGGGAGUGGGCUGCAAAAGAAGUGGGUAGUUUAACCUUCGGGAGGACGCUCACCACUUUGUGGUUCAUGACUGGGGUGAAGUCGUAACAAGGUAGCCGUAAUCG